UACGAACCGUGCAACCGUUGUUCGGAAUCACUGGGCUUAAAGGGCGCGUAGGCGGCUUGUCAAGUCAGGGGUGAAAUCUUUCGGCUUAACCGGAAAAGUGCCUUUGAUACUGACAGGCUCGAGGGAGGUAGGGGUAUGUGGAACUUCUGGUGGAGCGGUGAAAUGCGUUGAUAUCAGAAGGAACGCCGGUGGCGAAAGCGACGUACUGGACCUCUUCUGACGCUGAGGCGCGAAAGCUAGGGGAGCAAACGGG
This 253-nucleotide ribosomal RNA is filed under the name uncultured bacterium. RNAcentral's name for it is "partial 16S ribosomal RNA". It matches the Rfam family "Bacterial small subunit ribosomal RNA", at positions 524 to 776 of the family's 1533-position model. The record is from RNAcentral.